Molecule: ribosomal RNA, 696 nt
Filed under: Vibrio sp. KR05-17
Lineage: Bacteria; Pseudomonadati; Pseudomonadota; Gammaproteobacteria; Vibrionales; Vibrionaceae
Description: bacterial SSU rRNA
Rfam family: Bacterial small subunit ribosomal RNA
Source: RNAcentral
GCGGACGGGUGAGUAAUGCCUAGGAAAUUGCCUUGAUGUGGGGGAUAACCAUUGGAAACGAUGGCUAAUACCGCAUAAUGCCUACGGGCCAAAGAGGGGGACCUUCGGGCCUCUCGCGUCAAGAUAUGCCUAGGUGGGAUUAGCUAGUUGGUGAGGUAAUGGCUCACCAAGGCGACGAUCCCUAGCUGGUCUGAGAGGAUGAUCAGCCACACUGGAACUGAGACACGGUCCAGACUCCUACGGGAGGCAGCAGUGGGGAAUAUUGCACAAUGGGCGAAAGCCUGAUGCAGCCAUGCCGCGUGUAUGAAGAAGGCCUUCGGGUUGUAAAGUACUUUCAGUUGUGAGGAAGGGNGUNNNGUUAAUAGCGCUAUCUCUUGACGUUAGCAACAGAAGAAGCACCGGCUAACUCCGUGCCAGCAGCCGCGGUAAUACGGAGGGUGCGAGCGUUAAUCGGAAUUACUGGGCGUAAAGCGCAUGCAGGUGGUUCAUUAAGUCAGAUGUGAAAGCCCGGGGCUCAACCUCGGAACUGCAUUUGAAACUGGUGAACUAGAGUACUGUAGAGGGGGGUAGAAUUUCNGGUGUAGCGGUGAAAUGCGUAGAGAUCUGAAGGAAUACCAGUGGCGAAGGCGGCCCCCUGNACAGAUACUGACACUCAGAUGCGAAAGCGUGGGGGAGCAAACAGGANUAGAUACCCUG